GGACCAUCCUGCUCGAAGAGGUAAGCAACUGUCAGGGUUUGGUUGGAGCUCGCUCAAUUGGCCGUCGAAGGUCACCAAAAGUAUUCCCUCCUCAUUGCUACCACCUCCGCUCCAUUUCCACAUCUCUUCAGGAGACGUCGCAAGGAUUUCGUGUUCCUUUGUCGCUGGCCAACAAAGAACAAGUUGAGGAGGAUGAUGAAGGCUUAGAGUCCGAGGUGUUCGAGCAAGGCCAAUCGGGCUCGUCCGACCGGUCAACCGAGUUCGAACGCGGCUAGCGGGCAACUUCGAGAACCCACCAGGUCUCAGGAUUCUUCUGCGCCCGAUUCCUGUUGUCCGGCGAAAAAAAUACGGAUCCACGCGGCGCGAGCAAAUUCUACAAUGCGCCACGGCCGGAGAUCUGCCUUCGAUGCUCGAGGAGCGCUCUUCCGCUGCUCGAACACCCGGAAACCAGCGCGGGAACACGAGGAUGGAUUGGUCAGGAAGUUGUUUAUCGUAACGGCGAGGUCUCGAGUUCUUUGGAAUUGAAACGUGACGUUAAAGGGUCUCCCAAAAGGCACAUCAGAACUUUUUGAUUAUUGGAAGCUGUUUACUGGGGGACACUUGAAUUUUCAGGUUUAACUUUAGUUGAGCGUACGUUUAACACGUUGACUGCCAGACAAAUCUGCUAGGAUUAAAUAUUAUUCGUGGUAUUUAUUUUUGUAAGUUCAUAAAAACUCAUGAAUUUCAUUUAAAUUUAUUUCCUUGGAUGCUCGACUAUCAUAAUUAAUUUUUUUAAUUGUUCGGUAAAAAGCACUGUUAUCCAUACACGGGUGACGUGGCGAUCAACGUGUUAAAAUGAAAGAAGUGUAUUAACCCUUUGCACUCGAGAGGUGACUCUCAGUCACCUCUAGGUUUUCGUUAGGUUUAAUUUCUUUGGAACUCAAAGUGCCAAUAAAAUGAUUGUCAUUGAGACAAAGGUGACCUCAUUCUGAAAUCUCAAAUUAGAGAUAUCAUUAUCGAAGUCAAUAUAAUCUUAGCAUUCGUGCCAAUAGAAUGCUAAGAAAGCAUCUCAAGCUGCUGGUAGAUACUAGAAAGAAAGGCCUUGAGUGCAAAGGGUUAACCCUUAGAACAAUUUAAACAACUUUGACAGCUGACGUUUACUUUUUUAACUUUUGUUCAAAAGAACGUUAUACAAUGGUAACAUACAUACAGCCAAAUAUUAAAAACGAGCUAAUUGCAAGUGUACAAUUCGAUUUAAAGGUUCGGUAUCAAAUUUGAAACUUAGGGCAUUUAAGGGGUUGAAACAAUUGCUGUGCCAACGAUUUGGGUAAUCAGUGGAAAUCGACAUGUUUAUUGUAUAACAUUAUCGCUAAAUUAGUCAAUCUUUAAUUUAAAGUAUUUUCAUUUAUUUUCAUUUCUAUAAAAUUGUUUCUCUCGGGAAACACCAAUUUGACCGACUACCACACAUGCUCCUCCAAGUGUGAAAAUGUUUCUAUUCGACAAAUGUAAUGUUUAUUUCUUCCCAUAGCAACCUUUCGACCAUUUAUCUUUUCUCUUCGAGGACAAUAAUGAUUAUACUUUCAAGCGCUGUCCUUCUGUGUGAAAUCAAUCUACGUUUUCCGCCGAUGAUAUAGUAAUCAAAGGGUACCAGAGGGAGAAGCGUCAAAGUUCGGAAUCGCGGGAAACGCGAGUAAUCGAAGCAAAAUGGCCGUCGUUCACGGCGUACGUGUGCAAUCUCUUUUUAAAUAAUGCGAGAUCGAGGCAUGAAUCAAGUACAACGGUGGAGGUGAGGCGAAGGAAGAGGCAGGGACGAGAAACAAAGGACUCUCCUCGGCCCAAAAACUGCUCGAGCGAUCGAUACAUGGUCAUACAUUGAUACUCGAUACAUUGCCGGAGAAGCUGACGGAGAGGAAGUUGCAAUCAAUGCUUCCGGCUCGAGCCACGUUACACGUUGGGGGAACCACUUUUUCCCUUGUACAAUAUGCCAGAAUUCAGUUGGUUAAAUAAAUAAAACAAAGUAGGUUCUCAGCUAGAGAUAACCGACACGACGGCAGGAACAUCUCCAUCUUUUAGGGAGGAUCGUUUUUAAAUUAAAAAGAAAAAAGAAGAAAAAAGAAAAUGUAGUUAUAACUAGGCUGUAUAAUAUUCAACGCUUUUAAUCACGUGUUAGUGGUGAUUUUUAGAGCAAAUAAUUCUAAACAAGCUAGGAAUAUGUAUAUCGCAGGGAAACGAUAAAAGAUUUGAUUUGAUCAAAUCUCUAUUUUUAUCAUUUCCCUGCGACAUGUACACAAAUCAUUUAUAGGGCGAUAGGAAAUAUUAAAGUAAUCUUUAUCAGUGGUAAAAGCAGGACACGUUCUUUAUUAGGUGAAUAAUAAUAGUAAUACUUUCUAUUAGAUAAAAUGUUAAAAUAUUCAUCGUUAGAAAAAAUAAUGAAAUAUACUUCUUAGCAGACGUAAUAAAAAAAGCGAGGAACAUAGAAUCGAUCCACCCAUAACUUAUUUUUCUCAAGCUACUAAGCCCCGCUCGAGUGUCGGCAGAAUUUUCGACGGAAAUUUUGUACACGGGCGAUAUUUUCUUCUAACGCGUAGAAAUAAUUUAACGACACGUCGUUAAGCUUUCGUUUCCGCCCGUCCCAUGGAACGAAGGGAGGCCGGGGUUGUCAUUAGCGGAACGCGAUAUUUUAAGCAGGCACUUUAAACCCGAGGGGAAAAACGCGAGAAAUUACAAAACGCGUGCGUGAAGUAACACGCCUCGACGCGAUGUUUUCAUUCUCCGAAACGAUGCACGAAGGAGCACGAGAAAUCGGCGUCAAGGAUACGAAAAAUUAAAAAAUAUAACUUUUUCUUUUCGAUGGGAAAACGGCACAUAUCGAAGACGCGAACGGUAUUCAGAAUUCAGUAAUUGAGAAACUCGCUCGUUUCCGCGAGCUUGUAUGUAUGUUUUAUGUUGUUUUGAAUUUCAACUUUUCACGCGAAUGUUUCUUUCUGUUUUGAGCCGCAACGUCGUUAGCGAGCGCAAAAUAUAUUCAGCGUUUUCUCUG
This is a long non-coding RNA of Hylaeus anthracinus, 3019 nucleotides long. RefSeq lists it as uncharacterized. The transcript is spliced from 2 exons. The record is from RefSeq and is a predicted model, not a curated record. NCBI's taxonomy places the organism in Eukaryota, Metazoa, Arthropoda, Insecta, Hymenoptera, Colletidae.